CCAAGUUUUCAACUCGAGACGCUUUUGAUCCUUUUGUCGGCGAAAAUUCGAUCGAAGAAGAGACUGUGCGCAGGAGACACACUGUCUGGCCCGACUCGCAAGCGCUAUUCGUCAAUGAAUGCUUGGAUCCUUGUACACGGAGCGUAUCCUUUGCUACACUUCUAAACUACCUGUGCCCGUAAAGCAGCAAACAUCGAAACAACCGAUCGACGACACAAGAGAGGAUCGCGCUGUGCUUGAUCCUUUUCGCAUUGGCACAGUGCCCGUUCCAUUCAUGAAAAGUGUCUUCCAGCUUCAUUCAUCGCUUUUCGGUGCCCGUUGUUCGCGCAGACCCAUUCAUGGGCACCCGAGGCACCGCCACAAAAGGCAGACGAAUACAGCUGAGCAUUCUCCUGCCCGAUGACAAUGGACAUUCCUGUACAUGUCUGUGUGUGUGUGUGUGUGUGUGAGUCCUUUUCUCCCUAUUGUCUUCUGCCUUCGAACCUGUUACAAGGCGUAGGAAAGGAGAGAAAAGGACACUUACCUAAGGCGGGCGGACACAUGCCGGGCGGAAAAUAGCUCAACACGCACCCCGACUGACUUUGGCUAACUAGGUGUAUCGCGGACCAUUAGAACAGAGAGGAGACGGCCUCUCCAGCCCCCGGUAGGGUGUCCUUCGAUGUCUCCAGGUGCGUCUGGUGCGACACAAACUGCCAGCCCAUCCUCACCAGUCACCUCUCAGUGGGACUGAACGUAAACCCACACAAGGACACAUCCUUGUUCACUUGACUUGACUUGGCCUCCCUGCAGAGUCCCUGGAGCGUUUCUGGAGUGGAGUGUUCUUCUGCUAUUGGAUUUGAAUUUGUCACCACCCGCCGGGAGCCCGGAAUGGAAUGCCAAUUUUCGAUGGAAGCGUCCUGCACCGCGGGAAGUCAUUGCUGGUGAUGUAAAAUUUUGGUGACCUGCAGGAAUUGUAAGAACCUGUGUAGCGUUUUGCCGUACUCCGAUGUAACGACGAUAAUAUCGUGGGAACGCAUUCGCAAACGGUCGGCGUUGGCACUGUGGUAAUGUGCAUGCAAUUUUCAAUCGUAUUCCCAAAGUGCGGAAGAGAGAACAACUAACCUGGCUGAAACUGCUUCAUCAUGCACUUUGGUGCUUUGGUUUGUUGCGGACCUGUUGUACCGACUGUUUAUCAAUGGCAAAGACAAUCCAUCAUCUCCAAGGGAAAAAAGGCUCAAUGUUUGCGGAAAAGGUUGCUUUUAUAAAUCGAUCGAUAUCGAUUAUUAAGCACUAUAAAGAAACGAUCAAGCGGGGGACUCACUUUAGAGUAGUCAUCUUGGGAAGGGAAUAGUCUUGUCCUUACUUCAAGUAGGCCUUGGGAACGGCUUUUUGCACAAAGAUCUGCGAAAAAAGCGUACAGGUUCUCGCUCAAAUUGCUGUCAUCCACUUACAACUUCAUCAAGAUCAGUUUCGAGAUGAUCUGUUGUGUCUUCUCUACAGAAAAAAGGACCAAUAAUUCCCACCGGAGUGAUCCGCACGACUUUUACAAAUCCGUACUUCCUUCCUAAAUGCUGGAAUUGCAGCAGCCACAAAAAAAUCGCAGUUUUUCCCUCGUCAAAAUGCAUUCAACAAGUAUAAAGGACUGCAGUGAGCAGGAAGCUCCUACUGAAAAUCGCACCUCAGGAAUGUCCGAAAGGUGAAUCCCCGAGAAACGUUUCCACAAAAGACAUCCUAAUAAGCUUCCAAUAGUUCCACCCGUUCCAAAGGCAUGGCAGUCGCGCCAGGAAGUGGUUGAAGGAUUCUUCAUUCUUAUAAGAUCAUCACAGCAAAGGUGUGCUCACUCUGGACCUUAAAGGGCUCACACACGGAAGGAUCCAGCUGAGCGCGCCCCGAAACGGCUGGAGAUGUUUUCGAAAGCAAUUUUCACUCCUCCCCCCAGCCAACCACUCGAGCAGCGUGUCGAAAUUAAGCUCUAAAUACGUUCUUGCAACGGCCGACACCGGUACGGCACCCGGAACGUUCCGAGGCCGGUGUUCGUUCCGGUCGAUUUUCCUCUUCACACCACGGCCGUUUUUUGUUCUUCUUCUGUGUGGACCUCACGGACAAACACAACCCAGGACAG
Molecule: long non-coding RNA, 2101 nt
Organism: Anopheles merus
Lineage: Eukaryota; Metazoa; Arthropoda; Insecta; Diptera; Culicidae
Exons: 4
Source: RefSeq, a predicted model, not a curated record